UGAAGAAGUAGAGGCGCGGCCUCCAUCAGUAGCUCAUCUUUUAAUCUAAGGAGAGACCCCUAGAGAUGAGCGAAAGGGGUAGGUCGCCGAAACUUGCGCGCUUGGUCGUCUCCUUCCUUGGCCGCGCGAGUUGGUCGCUGCGGCUAAAUCCGCAGGACUGUCACGCGCACUGCGGUGCGGUGGAGAGCUACGACAGAA
This 198-nucleotide non-coding RNA is filed under the name Acidobacteriota bacterium. Its description in RNAcentral is "Acidobacteria bacterium Lysine sequence". It matches the Rfam family "Lysine riboswitch aptamer". From Rfam's summary of the family: Riboswitches are metabolite binding domains within certain messenger RNAs that serve as precision sensors for their corresponding targets. Allosteric rearrangement of mRNA structure is mediated by ligand binding, and this results in modulation of gene expression. This family includes riboswitches that sense lysine in a number of genes involved in lysine metabolism, including lysC. The record is from RNAcentral. Lineage: Bacteria; Pseudomonadati; Acidobacteriota.